UAUUCUGCCCCAUGGGGAAGGAUGAGAAGCUUCGACUAAGGUUCGACUCGAGCGAAGCGAAGCGCAGGCAACGGCCCGAAAGGCGUUAGCGCCGAGUAAUCCUUCCCCCACCACCA
RNAcentral lists this small RNA (116 nucleotides) under Klebsiella pneumoniae subsp. pneumoniae. RNAcentral describes it as "RtT sRNA". It matches the Rfam family "RtT RNA". From Rfam's summary of the family: This family represents a bacterial cis-regulatory element known as RtT RNA. The exact function of RtT is unknown although it is thought that it may be involved in changing the cellular response in relation to amino acid starvation. Lineage: Bacteria; Pseudomonadati; Pseudomonadota; Gammaproteobacteria; Enterobacterales; Enterobacteriaceae. The record is from RNAcentral.